GCAAAAAUAAGAAGGUUUAA
RNAcentral lists this small nuclear RNA (20 nucleotides) under Arabidopsis thaliana (thale cress). RNAcentral describes it as "snRNA_17647". Lineage: Eukaryota; Viridiplantae; Streptophyta; Magnoliopsida; Brassicales; Brassicaceae. The record is from RNAcentral.